RNAcentral lists this ribosomal RNA (429 nucleotides) under Pseudomonadota bacterium. Its description in RNAcentral is "Proteobacteria bacterium partial 16S ribosomal RNA". It matches the Rfam family "Bacterial small subunit ribosomal RNA", at positions 355 to 776 of the family's 1533-position model. Lineage: Bacteria; Pseudomonadati; Pseudomonadota. The record is from RNAcentral.
UGGGGAAUAUUGGACAAUGGGCGAAAGCCUGAUCCAGCCAUGCCGCGUGUGUGAAGAAGGUCCUCGGAUUGUAAAGCACUUUAAGUUGGGAGGAAGGGCAGUAAGCGAAUACCUUGCUGUUUUGACGUUACCGACAGAAUAAGCACCGGCUAACUCUGUGCCAGCAGCCGCGGUAAUACAGAGGGUGCAAGCGUUAAUCGGAAUUACUGGGCGUAAAGCGCGCGUAGGUGGUUCGUUAAGUUGAAUGUGAAAGCCCCGGGCUCAACCUUGGAACUGCAUCCAAGACUGGCGAGCUAGGGUAGGGCAGGGGGUGGUGGAAUUUCCUGUGUAGCGGUGAAAUGCGUAGAUAUAGGAAGGAACACCAGUGGCGAAGGCGACCACCUGGGCUCAUACUGACGCUGAGGUGCGAAAGCGUGGGGAGCAAACAGG